RNAcentral lists this transfer RNA (58 nucleotides) under Leucauge celebesiana. RNAcentral describes it as "tRNA-Leu". The record is from RNAcentral. Lineage: Eukaryota; Metazoa; Arthropoda; Arachnida; Araneae; Tetragnathidae.
AUUUAUUUGGCAGAAAAAUGCAAUAGAUUUAGAAUCUAUAAAUUCUAAAAAUUAGAUG